RNAcentral lists this ribosomal RNA (520 nucleotides) under Methylobacterium sp. MM93. RNAcentral's name for it is "bacterial SSU rRNA". It matches the Rfam family "Bacterial small subunit ribosomal RNA", at positions 120 to 674 of the family's 1533-position model. The record is from RNAcentral. Lineage: Bacteria; Pseudomonadati; Pseudomonadota; Alphaproteobacteria; Hyphomicrobiales; Methylobacteriaceae.
GGGAACGUACCCUUCGGUUCGGGAUAACCCUGGGAAACUAGGGCUAAUACCGGAUACGUCCGAGAGGAGAAAGGUUUACUGCCGAAGGAUCGGCCCGCGUCCGAUUAGCUAGUUGGAGAGGUAACGGCUCACCAAGGCGACGAUCGGUAGCUGGUCUGAGAGGAUGAUCAGCCACACUGGGACUGAGACACGGCCCAGACUCCUACGGGAGGCAGCAGUGGGGAAUAUUGGACAAUGGGCGCAAGCCUGAUCCAGCCAUGCCGCGUGAGUGAUGAAGGCCUUAGGGUUGUAAAGCUCUUUUGUCCGGGACGAUAAUGACGGUACCGGAAGAAUAAGCCCCGGCUAACUUCGUGCCAGCAGCCGCGGUAAUACGAANGGGGCUAGCGUUGCUCGGAAUCACUGGGCGUAAAGGGCGCGUANGCGGCCUUGUAAGUUGGGGGUGAAAGCCCGUGGCUCAACCACGGAAUUGCCUUCGAUACUGCUUGGCUUGAGUGUGGUAGAGGUUGGUGGAACUGCGAGU